Molecule: ribosomal RNA, 254 nt
Filed under: uncultured bacterium
Lineage: Bacteria
Description: partial 16S ribosomal RNA
Rfam family: Bacterial small subunit ribosomal RNA
Source: RNAcentral
UACGUAGGGUGCGAGCGUUGUCCGGAAUUAUUGGGCGUAAAGAGCUCGUAGGCGGUGUGUCACGUCGGUCGUGAAAACUUUCAGCUUAACUGGGAGCUUGCGGUCGAUACGGGCAUCACUGGAGUUCGGCAGGGGAGACUGGAAUUCAAGGUGUAGCGGUGAAAUGCGCAGAUAUCUUGAGGAACACCGGUGGCGAAGGCGGGUCUCUGGGCCGAUACUGACGCUGAGGAGCGAAAGCGUGGGGAGCGAACAGG